CCUACGGGGGGCAGCAGUGGGGGAUAUUGCACAAUGGGGGGAACCCUGAUGCAGCGACGCCGCGUGGGUGAAGAAGCGCCUCGGCGCGUAAAGCCCUGUCAGCAGGGAAGAAAAUGACGGUACCUGAAGAAGAAGCCCCGGCUAACUACGUGCCAGCAGCCGCGGUAAUACGUAGGGGGCAAGCGUUAUCCGGCUAUACUGGGUGUAAAGGGGGCGCAGACGGCGAUGCAAGCCAGGAGUGAAGGCCCGGGGCCCAACCCCGGGACUGCUCUUGGAACUGCGUGGCUGGAGGGCAGGAGGGGCAGGCGGAAUUCCUGGUGUAGCGGUGACAUGCGUAGAUAUCAGGAGGAACACCGGUGGCGAAGGCGGCCUGCUGGACUGCAACUGACGUUGAGGCCCGAAAGCGUGGGGAGCAAACAGGAUUAUAUACCCUAGUAGUC
Molecule: ribosomal RNA, 440 nt
Filed under: uncultured bacterium
Lineage: Bacteria
Description: partial 16S ribosomal RNA
Rfam family: Bacterial small subunit ribosomal RNA
Source: RNAcentral